CCGGCGGGGACUACAUCAAGGAGCCUGCGGGACCGAGCGUUCGCGUCCCGCAUCCCAACGGGCAUGUCGAGGCGUUCCCGCCCCGCAAAGCUCCGUUUCUGACCCUGUUCUAGGUGGAAAACGAGGCAUCGGGAUGCUCGUAGUUAAUUCCCCUCCUCCACGGGUCUUUAUUUAGCCUCGGAAAACACAAGCGAAGAGCGCAGAGUGAAUGUGCCCUGCGGCAAAAACAUUACGGUGCGAGACGAGGAAAGGGAAGCAAGAAAAGAGGGCGGGAAGUAAACAAGAUGUGGAGCUGACAUCCGUUACCAGAGGGAAAACACCCGUGCGCAAUAAACCCAGAAGAAUGAGGUAGAAGGAGAGACGAGACCUAACACGGAAGAGGAAGCUGAGGAGACACGAGCUGCUGAGCAAGAACUGAGUGAUGCUGUCCAAACACGGAGCCUCAUGGCCCCCGACAUGGCCCUGGGAGGGGGGAAUUGCUGCGUGAAAGGGGGAUAAAAGCAAUUCUCCUCCUCUUUCGACGCAAUAAGGCACCAAAAAUGGAGGUGGCCUAGGAAAGGCCUUCCCUCUCCCUUCUGUCAAUACUAAAUGCAUAAAAUUAAAUGUUAAUAUCA
This is a long non-coding RNA of Strigops habroptila (Kakapo), 614 nucleotides long. RefSeq lists it as uncharacterized. The transcript has 2 exons. NCBI's taxonomy places the organism in Eukaryota, Metazoa, Chordata, Aves, Psittaciformes, Psittacidae. The record is from RefSeq and is a predicted model, not a curated record.